Molecule: long non-coding RNA, 508 nt
Filed under: Astyanax mexicanus (Mexican tetra)
Lineage: Eukaryota; Metazoa; Chordata; Actinopteri; Characiformes; Acestrorhamphidae
Description: lncRNA (ENSAMXG00005017436.1)
Source: RNAcentral
UAAUGUGUCUACAAAAACACUUUAGUUACUUACUUUAUAACAUAAGUAAAAGAUGCUGCUUGAAAUUGAAUGAAUUUUUUUUCAGGUCUCCAUAUCGGUCUCUUAUCUGCUGUUGUAGCUGUUGCCUGCAUAUUUCUCACAGCAUGUUCUGUAUUUGUUGGCAUUUACGUAGGAAACUUUGUAAAAACAUGGAAGUUUCAAUUUACAGCAGGAAUAUACAUCAUUCUCUGGGUUGCUCUAGUGCUUGUUGUGCGUCGACAACAUAAAAACAAUAAAGACAGAUUCUGCGCUAAAUGGAGAGGCCUGGGAUAUAUGUGCUGUGCCGUGCUUAUCUCAAUAUCUAUUCUUGCAAAUGGUUUGUUGUAUGUUUAUUAUAUAAAGGACAACAUGAAAUCAAAAGGUAGGUCACAUUCCUCUACAUUAGCUUUUAUAUGAAUUCUAAAUUCAUAAUGAUAAUAAUAUUGGGAACACUUUACAAUAAAGGACACAAAUAAUAUAACUUACGACA